GACGGAGGAUGCAAGUGUUAUCCGGAAUCACUGGGCGUAAAGCGUCUGUAGGUGGUUUAAUAAGUCAGUUGUUACAAAUUGAGGCUUAACCUUAAACAAGCAACAGAUACUGUUAAACUUGAGUAUAGUAGAGGUAAAAGGAAUUUCCAGUGGAGCGGUGAAAUGCGUAGAGAUUGGAAAGAACACCGAUGGCGAAGGCAUUUUACUGGGCUAUAACUGACACUCAGAGACGAAAGCUAGGGUAGCAAAUGGGAUUAGAUACCCCAGUAGUCCUAGCCGUAAACGAUGGAUACUAGAUGUUGCACGUAUCGACCCGUGCAGUAUCAAAGCUAACGCGUUAAGUAUCCCGC
Molecule: ribosomal RNA, 350 nt
Filed under: uncultured dictyochophyte
Lineage: Eukaryota; Dictyochophyceae
Description: SSU rRNA
Rfam family: Bacterial small subunit ribosomal RNA
Source: RNAcentral